This 253-nucleotide ribosomal RNA is filed under the name uncultured bacterium. RNAcentral describes it as "partial 16S ribosomal RNA". It matches the Rfam family "Bacterial small subunit ribosomal RNA", at positions 524 to 776 of the family's 1533-position model. The record is from RNAcentral.
UACGGAGGGUGCAAGCGUUAUCCGGAUUCACUGGGUUUAAAGGGUGCGUAGGUGGGCAAGUAAGUCAGUGGUGAAAUCUCCGGGCUUAACCCGGAAACUGCCAUUGAUACUAUUUGUCUUGAAUACUGUGGAGGUCAGCGGAAUAUGUCAUGUAGCGGUGAAAUGCUUAGAUAUGACAUAGAACACCAAUUGCGAAGGCAGCUGGCUACACGAAUAUUGACACUCAGGCACGAAAGCGUGGGGAUCAAACAGG